RNAcentral lists this ribosomal RNA (419 nucleotides) under bacterium. RNAcentral describes it as "partial 16S ribosomal RNA". It matches the Rfam family "Bacterial small subunit ribosomal RNA", at positions 355 to 776 of the family's 1533-position model. The record is from RNAcentral.
UGGGGGAUAUUGCACAAUGGGCGAAAGCCUGAUGCAGCGACGCCGCGUGGGGGAUGAAGGCCUUCGGGUUGUAAACUUCUUUUGCUCUGAACAAGGCAUGCUAAUGGGUGUGUUGAGUGUAGGGGUUGAUUAGCGCCGGCUAACUACGUGCCAGCAGCUGCGGUAAUACGUAGGGCGCGAGCGUUGUCCGGAAUUAUUGGGCGUAAAGGGCUUGUAGGUGGCUGGUUGCGUCUGUCGUGAAAGCUCAUGGCUUAACUGUGGGUUUGCGGUGGGUACGGGCUGGCUAGAGUGCAGUAGGGGAGGCUGGAAUUCCUGGUGUAGCGGUGGAAUGCGCAGAUAUCAGGAGGAAUACCGGUGGCGAAGGCGGGUCUCUGGGCUGUUACUGACACUGAGGAGCGAAAGCAUGGGGAGCGAACAGG